This 208-nucleotide ribosomal RNA is filed under the name uncultured bacterium. RNAcentral describes it as "partial 16S ribosomal RNA". It matches the Rfam family "Bacterial small subunit ribosomal RNA", at positions 524 to 730 of the family's 1533-position model. The record is from RNAcentral.
UACAGAGGGUGCGAGCGUUGUCCGGAAUCACUGGGCGUAAAGGGCGCGUAGGUGGCGAGCCAAGUCCAUGGUGAAAGCUCGAUGCUCAACAUCGAGUCGGCCACGGAUACUGGUGCGCUUGAGCACCUGUAGAGGCUAAUGGAAUUCCGGGUGUAGCGGUGGAAUGCGUAGAGAUCCGGAAGAACACCGGUGGCGAAGGCGGUUAGCU